Molecule: ribosomal RNA, 303 nt
Filed under: uncultured bacterium
Lineage: Bacteria
Description: partial 16S ribosomal RNA
Rfam family: Bacterial small subunit ribosomal RNA
Source: RNAcentral
AGCAGUCGCCGCGGUAAUACAGAGGUCUCAAGCGUUGUUCGGAUUCAUUGGGCGUAAAGGGUGCGUAGGGGGUGAGUUAAGUCUGCUGUGGAAUCCCCGGGCUCAACCUGGGAAUGGCAGUGGAUACUGGCUCGCUAGAGUGUGUCAGAGGAUGGUGGAAUUCCCGGUGUAGCGGUGAAAUGCGUAGAGAUCGGGAGGAACAUCAGUGGCGAAGGCGGCCAUCUGGGACAACACUGACGCUCAGGUGCGAAAGCGUGGGGAGCAAACAGGAUUAGAUACCCCGGUAGUCCCUGUCUCUUAUAC